AUGGUCCGAGAUGCGCAAUAUCUUCGGGGGGAUAGCAUCUUGGAUGAUGAAGAAAGCAUUCUCGUUGAAUUGGUUAUCUGCGGCUUCUCUAGUGGUGAAGUUGCUUCAGUCAUGCGGAUAAAAACCUUCUUCAAUGAUUCUCCAAAGGUUAGUAUUAACAUGGUUCAAAUGACGCUUAAAGCGAAAAACCCAAGAAUCAAAGUCCUCAUUUUUCACAAUCUUAGGGGGAGGACCGGCAUGAUUCAAAUGAGUGGAAGGAAUCGGUCCACCAUAAGUAAGUGGAGGUUCCACAUGGGCAAAGAUGUCGUUGCCAAUUUUACCACUAGAAGAAGGAGCCUUUUCACUAGUAGCUCCCCCCUUGUCGGAGUUAGCAUCCGUCACCUUCUUAGUGGGAUCACCCACUUUCAUUGA
Molecule: ribosomal RNA, 411 nt
Filed under: Triticum aestivum (bread wheat)
Lineage: Eukaryota; Viridiplantae; Streptophyta; Magnoliopsida; Poales; Poaceae
Description: partial small subunit ribosomal RNA
Source: RNAcentral